CGGAUAUGGUUCAUCGGUAGAACGCCGGCUUCCCAAGCCUGAAAGGAGGGUUCGACUCCCUUUAUCCG
Molecule: transfer RNA, 68 nt
Filed under: bovine gut metagenome
Rfam family: tRNA
About the family: Transfer RNA (tRNA) molecules are approximately 80 nucleotides in length.
Source: RNAcentral